AUUAAAUUCAAAAAUAAAUAAAUUUGGUAAGAAAAAGCUUAAUACUUUAUGCAUUUGGUACAUCACCAAAAAUUGCAUCAAGUAGUGUGAUAAACUAUAAAUAACGUUGAAUUCGCGGGUUUUCCGGAUUGCCUCUAUACAUAUGAUAAAGUUCUAACAAGAAACGGGUCAUCUCGUCUGACCAAAUGAUUUUCUAAUCGAGAAAGCAAAUCAAAACAUGUAUUCAAUCAAAAAACUCAAACAAAAAUACAAAAUAAAAAAAUGACGAUGCUAUGAAAUACUUAGAGAAUUACACUAGCUAAUGAAUGGAUGAAAGGAUAGAUCAUACUUACGUUUGAUUCUUGAUUUUGAUUUUGAUUUUCGUCAGUUUGGGUCGAUGCCAUAAUUGAGAGAAUAGGGUUUCAAUAUAUUGAUUAGGGUUUUCUAAUAAGAAUAAGAUAUAUAGAGUUUGGGUGGAAGACAUAAUUAUUUUAAUUAAUUAAAUU
RNAcentral lists this small RNA (485 nucleotides) under Arabidopsis thaliana (thale cress). Its description in RNAcentral is "ATSL011130". The record is from RNAcentral. Lineage: Eukaryota; Viridiplantae; Streptophyta; Magnoliopsida; Brassicales; Brassicaceae.